This 448-nucleotide ribosomal RNA is filed under the name Babesia gibsoni. RNAcentral's name for it is "SSU rRNA". It matches the Rfam family "Eukaryotic small subunit ribosomal RNA", at positions 527 to 1027 of the family's 1831-position model. Lineage: Eukaryota; Apicomplexa; Aconoidasida; Piroplasmida; Babesiidae. The record is from RNAcentral.
AAAAUCUCACCAGAGUAACAAUUGGAGGGCAAGUCUGGUGCCAGCAGCCGCGGUAAUUCCAGCUCCAAUAGCGUAUAUUAAACUUGUUGCAGUUAAAAAGCUCGUAGUUGAAUUUCUGCGUUGCCCGACUCGGCUACUUGCCUUGUCUGGUUUCGCUUUUGGGGUUUUCCCCUUUUUACUUUGAGAAAAUUAGAGUGUUUCAAGCAGACUUGUGUCUUGAAUACUUCAGCAUGGAAUAAUAAAGUAGGACUUUGGUUCUAUUUUGUUGGUUUGUGAACCUUAGUAAUGGUUAAUAGGAACGGUUGGGGGCAUUCGUAUUUAACUGUCAGAGGUGAAAUUCUUAGAUUUGUUAAAGACGAACUACUGCGAAAGCAUUUGCCAAGGACGUUUUCAUUAAUCAAGAACGAAAGUUAGGGGAUCGAAGACGAUCAGAUACCGUCGUAGUCCU